CAGUAGCCACGGGAAUACAGAGGGUGCAAGCGUUAAUCGGAAUUACUGGGCGUAAAGCGCGCGUAGGUGGUUUGUUAAGUUGGAUGUGAAAGCCCCGGGCUCAACCUGGGAACUGCAUCCAAAACUGGCAAGCUAGAGUACGGUAGAGGGUGGUGGAAUUUCCUGUGUAGCGGUGAAAUGCGUAGAUAUAGGAAGGAACACCAGUGGCGAAGGCGACCACCUGGACUGAUACUGACACUGAGGUGCGAAAGCGUGGGGAGCAAACAGGAUUAGAUACCCCAGUAGUCCCUGUCUCUUAUAA
RNAcentral lists this ribosomal RNA (301 nucleotides) under uncultured bacterium. Its description in RNAcentral is "partial 16S ribosomal RNA". It matches the Rfam family "Bacterial small subunit ribosomal RNA", at positions 509 to 809 of the family's 1533-position model. The record is from RNAcentral.